AAGUCACGGGAACAGAAUGAACUAAGUGAUUUUGUUUUUAGUUGGUCGGACGGGUGGAGUAACGACGUGGGUAACCGUAGCCGUAGUACAGGGGAGUAACACUUAGAAAUAAGGUGCUAAUACCGCAUAAGCGCACAGCUUCGCAUGGAGCAGUGUGAAAAGCGUAAACGGUAUACGAUGGACCCGCGUCUGAUUAGCUAGUUGCGGGGUAGAGGCCCACCAAGGCGACGAUCAGUAGCCGGCCUGAGAGGGUGACCGGCCACAUUGGGACUGAGACACGGCCCAAACUCCUACGGGAGGCAGCAGUGGUGAAUAUUGCACAAUGGGGGGAACCCUGAUGCAGCGACGCCGCGUGAGUGAAGAAGUAUUUCGGUAUGUAAAGCUCUAUCAGCAGGGAAGAAAAUGACGGUACCUGACUAAGAAGCCCCGGCUAACUACGUG
RNAcentral lists this ribosomal RNA (441 nucleotides) under uncultured Lachnospiraceae bacterium. RNAcentral's name for it is "bacterial SSU rRNA". It matches the Rfam family "Bacterial small subunit ribosomal RNA", at positions 59 to 507 of the family's 1533-position model. Lineage: Bacteria; Bacillati; Bacillota; Clostridia; Lachnospirales; Lachnospiraceae. The record is from RNAcentral.